CUCUCCCCUGCUCCCCUUCCAUCUAAAACACCUGUGACUGGGUGGUAGAUUAUUCCAGCCCAGGUCAGAAGAGAUAAGGGGAGCAACUGAGUUGUUUAUUGUCCUUUGUAUCUUCCAGGAGUCCUCAACCAACAAAAGAUAAGGAAACCGAGGCUCAGAAAGAUGACAUCCCUUGUCUACAAGCGACACUAUAUUUCUUAAAAGUGGAGUGGAGGGCUCACGACUCAGGAAUCAGCCGCCACCACUUAAACCUGUCUUCAAAGGUGGAGAAUCUGACCUCAUCCACAGUCCAAGACCCAUCCAUCUUCCUGUAACAAGGAGCACAUCUGUCACCAGGCUUCUGGGUCACAUUUCCUGUCAACCAGGAAUCCCUCUAAGGAUGGAGGGAAAACUGGGAGCUUCCUUCUGCCCCCCCCGCCCCCCACUCGAAUCAUUUCCCCGUUUGAUCGUGUGGAGGGGCGGGGGAGAAACAGAAAAACAGGGAACAGGAAUUCGUUAUUCUUCGGUGGCAUUUCUAGCAAUGGGCUGA
RNAcentral lists this long non-coding RNA (529 nucleotides) under Monodelphis domestica (gray short-tailed opossum). RNAcentral describes it as "lncRNA (ENSMODG00000033714.2)". Lineage: Eukaryota; Metazoa; Chordata; Mammalia; Didelphimorphia; Didelphidae. The record is from RNAcentral.